Molecule: long non-coding RNA, 548 nt
Filed under: Chloebia gouldiae (Gouldian finch)
Lineage: Eukaryota; Metazoa; Chordata; Aves; Passeriformes; Passeridae
Description: Erythrura gouldiae (Gouldian finch) lncRNA (ENSEGOG00005009615.1)
Source: RNAcentral
GUAGGGGGUGGGAGAGGGGAGGAAAAGAGAGCAAAUAGGAGGAAUGUAGAGAAAAAGAAUUACGAAAGAAAAGAAACGCAAAAGAACAGUAAUGCAGAGAAAAAGAGAUACAGGGUCCAGCCGGCCCCAACAGCCCGCACCGAACGCCAGGGAGCGAAUGGCUCAGCCCCGCCCUCCCCGCGGUUUAAAUCCCCCACGGCCCCGCCCCGCGCAGCCGCGCUGGGGCCCCGCGCACCUGCGCGCGCCCCUCUGCUGGCCCCGCCCCCCCGCCCGUAAAUGGCGGCGGAUCCGCGCCCGCCCCGCGUCCUGCGGGGGAUGCUCGGCCCGGGCUGCGGCGGGACCGGCGCUCGGAGCGCCGUGCGGAGAUCCGUAUCGGGGCUGCUCCCGGCGCUGCGCGGCGUCCGAGGCCCUCAGCUCCUGAGCAGUGUCAGGGCCACCGGGAGGGCGUUCAAACCCAAAAAAUCCCCACAGCCCACGGAGUGAAUGAUCCCAGCAGAGAAACGCAGCGUUGUAAUAAAGAACUUGGAGCUCUGUGGAAAAGGCUCUGA